Non-coding RNA from Anolis sagrei ordinatus, 546 nucleotides. The record is from the annotation of a RefSeq genome assembly. NCBI's taxonomy places the organism in Eukaryota, Metazoa, Chordata, Lepidosauria, Squamata, Anolidae.
CAGGUGAAGGCCAUGGCUACAGCACUUAUUUGUUCCUGUUACAGAGAAUUUAUACCUGGCUCUCUCUUCUACCUUUUUCUCAUCUUGGGUGCCUUACCAGGUAGCGACUCUACUGUGACAGUGACCCAGGAACCAUUAUUGACCAGCGUUUUGCAAAAGGAGAAGCUUAUAAUCAAAUGUUCUGUAAGUAGCCCAGGUUACAGUUUCCUCUGGUAUCGCCAGCUGCCUGGGAAGAUAGAGCUACAAGUGCUCGGGAACCUCUACAGUUAUGAAAACCAACUUGCUGAUGUUGACUCCACUCUUGACAACCGGCUGAGUGGGGAAUGGCUGAAUGGUGCCAAGGAAAAAAUGAACCUGUAUCUCCAAAGCCUUCAGCCUAGUGACACAGGCCUGUAUCUGUGUGCUGCAAAGGACACAGUGAGAGAGGCAGGAACUGGGGCUGGCACAAAACAGAGUGCAGAGAACAGACACCCUGUGCAGGGCAGUAGCCAGAAAAAGGGGGGGGGGGAAAUCAAGCAACUUCUGGUUCCUUUAGCAUUGGCGUAA